RNAcentral lists this long non-coding RNA (1884 nucleotides) under Gallus gallus (chicken). RNAcentral describes it as "lncRNA (ENSGALG00010001660.1)". Lineage: Eukaryota; Metazoa; Chordata; Aves; Galliformes; Phasianidae. The record is from RNAcentral.
CUCUGUCAUAAAAAUUACUCAAGAUAUAACGUGUCCAUGCACUGCUGUUGUGGAUGUGUUCUGUUCAAACCAAAUUGUACAAGCCCAUGUCACUCUUGAGACACCGGGAAACAGUCUGAGGAUAUUUCAGGGAAUCCUGAUCACCGAACUUACAGUACUUUUUGUCUCCCACACUGUGGGUUUGAAACUCAGACAAAAGACAUGUAACAAUCUGGCUUGGCAGAUAGCAGAGAUCUAGCUGAAUCUCCAUGAGAGUGUUAUCAUCUGUGCAUCCAGAUUGUGACAUAAGAUGUCUAACUUGACACGGUUGGUGACACGGUGCACUUUUGUCUCUUCACUCGUUUUCCAUUGCAGCCACCAGUCGCCUUUCCUCUCCUCUGUUCCCAAGGCAGUCUUUUCAGCAGUGCUCCUUGUUGGUGUUCACCUUUUUUCCACUUCCUCACUCCCAUGUGCUGACUCCUACUUACUUCAUUUUCUCUCACAUACAUUUUGAUGCCAUACAUUAAAUGCCAUUUUAGUUCUCUAUAUAAAUAAAGAAAUGUGUCAGUAUUUGUAACCCUGUUUGUUCUUUCUCUCUGCCAGUUUUACCUCCAUUCAUCUCUGAAAGACUGUGGACAAUUUAAGGAUAUGUUUGUGCAGCCCAGUAGUAACUGGGACUAUUGGAGGGAAUAGGGAGAGGUUUUUCAUUACCAUUCUGACAAGGUUUGAUUUUUGUCUUCUUUUUUUUGAGGCAGUUGGCAGCAGCGUGGUCCUUUGUGCUGAUGAAAUGCUGGAGGAUAUACAGGAGUGUCACUAUUUGAAUCAGUGUUACAGAUAAAAAUAGUUCUUACAAAACCUACUUUGUGUAACUUUCAUAAUAACUUAAUUCACUUUAGCAGCUUUCAAAAUUUCUUCCACUUUUUGCUUUUUACUGCAUUUGACAGAGGUGAGUGUAUUUGCUCCUGAAGAGACCCCAAGUGUGCAGUGAGGAAAGAGCAGGGAUAUAUUUAUUAUACACUGUGAGAUGAAGGGGGAGUUAGAGAGCUGCCAUUCUUCUGGAUGUGUCCACCUCGUGUCUGAAUUGAUUUCCAUGUGGAAAUGCACCAGAGCUGUUUUUGGAGGACUGCCUCUGUAAGGAAACCCAACAAGUACUUCAAAAGAAACACUGCAGACCUCUCAGAAAUGCCUGUGGACUACUGAUGGUCUUCAAAGAAUUUGGGCGGCACUAUGGAGCAGCGUUAAUCACUGCAGGUAAGGGAGGAAGUGUUAACUUAGAAUCUGUGGGGAUGUUACAGCUGAUAUUUUUCAUACAUAAUAACCUUGUUCCUCUUAGAGCAUUUCAUGUAUUUGGUAUUUAAAUUAGACUUCAUUUAGUAAUAUAGCUUAGUGUACCAUCUGAAACCAAAGAUGCAGAAUCUUUAAGUGUUUUAUCAUCCUUCUCAGUCUCUUCAAGUCCUUGUCAGUGUUGAAGCAGUUCUUUUAUGGCUCAGUUAAAGCACGUGCAGAAAUUUCCAAAAGUUUUAUUUGAAACUAUUACUGAUUUCCAUAACAAAGUGUAAAAAAAGCAACACAGUGGCCUAAACGGAGAUGAGAGACUCUUAAGAUUCCUCUUUAAACACAACAAACACACGGAAUCAUUGAGAAAGCCUGUGUAAGCUCAUGAAGUUGAUGUUAGACAAGAAAAAUGCUGACUGAAUUGCAGUGGCAAAUAUUUAAUCUUUCUAGAGGUCAGGGAUGUUUUAAAUAGAAGAGUGUUUUUUCCUCUUCAUUUAGCCCAUUGUCUCUUUAUUGCUGGUUGUGCUAGAUUCUUUCUGACAUCCUAAGAAAGUAUUGAUGGCUAUGGAAUAGAGGACCUAACAGUGGCUGUCAUGACAAACAGAGUGUAGGAAUAUCCAGAUUUCUUCC